Molecule: ribosomal RNA, 253 nt
Filed under: uncultured bacterium
Lineage: Bacteria
Description: partial 16S ribosomal RNA
Rfam family: Bacterial small subunit ribosomal RNA
Source: RNAcentral
UACGUAGGAGGCAAGCGUUGUCCGGAAUUAUUGGGCGUAAAGAGCUCGUAGGCGGUCUGUCGCGUCGGCUAUGAAAGCCCGGAGCUCAACUCCGGGCCUGCAGUCGAUACGGGCAAACUGGAGUGUUGCAGGGGAGACUGGAAUUCCUGGUGUAGCGGUGAAAUGCGCAGAUAUCAGGAGGAACACCGGUGGCGAAGGCGGGUCUCUGGGCAACAACUGACGCUGAGGAGCGAAAGCGUGGGGAGCGAACGGG